Molecule: transfer RNA, 64 nt
Filed under: Membranacea stenoprocessa
Lineage: Eukaryota; Metazoa; Arthropoda; Insecta; Hemiptera; Cicadellidae
Description: tRNA-Ser
Source: RNAcentral
AGUUAUUUAGCUUAUUUAAAGCAUAUAUUUUGAAAGUAUAUUAAAGGUGCUUACUUAAUAACUU